UCCUGGUGGUUUUGUCUAUUGUCUAAUAGGAAGACCAAAGAGAGCAGAGCCCUGUAGUGAAGGUAUCUCAGCUACUGAGCAUCUCUCUUCUCCCGUGCAGAUGAAGUGAACUUGCUGGACAAAAUUACUUCCCAUGCCCAGGACCUCAGCAAUAUUUCCUUUGGCUAUGAUGAAGCCAACUGCAGCAUCCUGGAGAUCGGGCAGUACGCCACCCUCAACAUCCCCACGAGGGAGGCCUUUGGGGACAGGUUUGCAGACGAGCUGAGUGUGCUGAUGAAACUCAGGUACUCGCUGAAGGAGGACACCAGCCUAGUGACCAUCCUCAGCCAUCGGAGCCACGUGCUCUUCCAGAUCAGGAUUAACCCAUAUGCCUUGGUCUUUGUCACCACAAGGAGGAGACACUAUGAGUUCCCAGUUUCCUUUCUUGGCGACGGGCACUGGCACCAAGUUGCUCUCAGCAUCUCCUUGGAGAGGCUGGAGCUGCACGUGGACUGUCGGCUGGUGGACAGAGUGAGCUGGUCCAAUUAUUUUGGGAUGGGAGUGAACACCGAGGGGCUGAUCAUCGUUGGAGGCCUGAUUGAAUCCUUCGAGAUCCCCUUUAAGGGUGCUCUACAGCAACUGACCUUCGUGAUGGGAGACCCAGCAGCUGCUGGGGAGCACUGCCGCAGCUACAACUCAACCUGCACUCGCUCCUUCAACCUCAACCGCUUUGGUUCCCCAUGGCAGCUCUCACCAGCCUGGCCAGAGGUGCCGAAAGAAACCAAUGAAAUCCAGGCCUCGUCUGCUCAGGACCCCAGACUCACCAGUUCAGAUUUGGCCCUGGGGCCACCUUGGACGUGGGAGAAUGCCCAGGAGACCCUCAGCCUUCAGCCUGAUGGAGCCCUGAUUUCUCUCUCUCCUACCGAGAUGCCAUCGGCUGAGGAGGAGGAAGAGGGAAGCCUUUCUAUUGAGGAUGAAGGCUUUGAGCUGCUGAAUUCCACCUAUAAUAAAAUCACCGGCCCUGGCAGGCCAGGGUUUGGCAGGAGCAGCCCAUGGGUUGUUGAUAGCUCUGGUCCCUCCAUCAAAACACAAAGAGCAGCCAAGAAGGAGCGUGCCUCUGACCCCUGGGAGGAGAACGUCACCACAGAGAAGCUGACGGGUGACACAGGCACCCGGCGGCAGCUCUUGCCCAGCAAACCUGGCGAUGCCAUCACUGAUCUGGAUGUGCCUGCCACCUUCACCAAGGUCUCCCCAUCGGGACAUCAGGCAGCUGCCCCAAAAGGUCCACUGGGGACGGGGUCAGCGGUGGGUGUUCCGGAGUCUCCUCUGGUAGCACCCAGCCCUGCUGUCCCAGGGCUUGGGGACAGCGUUGCCCACCCAGGACAUCCCAUCCCACCAGUGGCACAUGGGCAGCAUGGUCAUGUGAAGCCAGGGCCACCAGGGCUGCCAGGACCACCAGGGCUGCCGGGCUGUCCUGGGAGACGUGGACUGGUGGGACCCAAAGGAGACAAAGGAUACCCCGGAGCCAUGGGGCGGACGGGCCCCCCAGGUGACCCAGGCCCUGUGGGCAUCCCUGGUGUCCCCACCAUCGUCCUCUGGAGGAACUCCAGGGAGGACUGGCAGACAUUCACGGUGAGUUAUGGCCACAGCGGGCGAGCGCUCGGGGAGCUCCUCUUGCACUUCCCAUGCAGGUACCGUUCUCCUCUGCUGGGAUGGGAGCUGGGAGGAAG
Molecule: long non-coding RNA, 1709 nt
Filed under: Calidris pugnax (ruff)
Lineage: Eukaryota; Metazoa; Chordata; Aves; Charadriiformes; Scolopacidae
Description: lncRNA (ENSCPUG00000000807.1)
Source: RNAcentral